This is a long non-coding RNA of Hordeum vulgare subsp. vulgare (domesticated barley), 430 nucleotides long. RefSeq lists it as uncharacterized. Lineage: Eukaryota; Viridiplantae; Streptophyta; Magnoliopsida; Poales; Poaceae. The transcript is spliced from 2 exons. The record is from RefSeq and is a predicted model, not a curated record.
CACCAUCUAGAUCCAGAUCAGCAAGAAGCUCCAUCAUCACCUCAUGGCAAUCCUCACCAAGAUUUCUAGGGCCAUGUGCCUUACAGCACUAGUGCUCAUGGCCACCGUUCUCUCCUUACGCGCCGAUUCUCAUUACCCCUACCCCGGUCAUGGAUGCGGCGAUCCGUUUCCGUCGGAAAACUGUGAUAAAGAUUGUUAUAAAAAGUGCUAUGGCGUUUGCUACAUAGGAGAUGACCAGAAGUAUUACUGUUGCUGUGAACCAUUACACAGAGCUGGGUCCAUGAGGCCUUAGGACGUAGUUGAAAUGAUACAAACAUAACAGUGUGGAAUAAAUGUGCUUGCUCUUGAUGUUGAUGUAGUUAUUGCAGGCCUAACAUAAACAUGUAGCAUCCUCUUUAAAGAAACAGAAAAUGAAUUAUCUUUGUCAAUC